RNAcentral lists this ribosomal RNA (253 nucleotides) under uncultured bacterium. RNAcentral's name for it is "partial 16S ribosomal RNA". It matches the Rfam family "Bacterial small subunit ribosomal RNA", at positions 524 to 776 of the family's 1533-position model. The record is from RNAcentral.
UACGAAGGGGGCUAGCGUUGCUCGGAAUGACUGGGCGUAAAGGGCGCGUAGGCGGAUGGCACAGUCAGAUGUGAAAUUCCCGGGCUUAACCUGGGGGCUGCAUUUGAUACGUGUGAUCUAGAGUGAGGAAGAGGGUCGUGGAAUUCCCAGUGUAGAGGUGAAAUUCGUAGAUAUUGGGAAGAACACCGGUGGCGAAGGCGGCGACCUGGUCCUUGACUGACGCUGAGGCGCGAAAGCGUGGGGAGCGAUCCGG